This 443-nucleotide ribosomal RNA is filed under the name uncultured bacterium. RNAcentral's name for it is "partial 16S ribosomal RNA". It matches the Rfam family "Bacterial small subunit ribosomal RNA", at positions 338 to 795 of the family's 1533-position model. The record is from RNAcentral.
CCUACGGGAGGCAGCAGUGGGGAAUAUUGGGCAAUGGAGGCAACUCUGACCCAGCAACGCCGCGUGAAUGAUGAAGGUCUUCGGAUUGUAAAGUUCUUUUCUAAGGGAAGAAGAAAGUGACGGUACCUUAGGAAUAAGCCUCGGCUAACUACGUGCCAGCAGCCGCGGUAAUACGUAGGAGGCAAGCGUUAUCCGGAAUGACUGGGCGUAAAGGGUGCGUAGGUGGUUUGACAAGUUAGUAGCGCAACUCCGGAGCUCAACUUCGGAACUACUACUAAAACUGUUGGACUUGAGUGCAGGAGGGGAAAUCGGAAUUCCUAGUGGAGCGGUGGAAUGCGUAGAUAUUAGGAGGAACACCAGUGGCGAAGGCGGAUUGCUGGACUGUAACUGACGCUGAGGCACGAAAGCGUGGGGAGCAAACAGGAUUAGAUACCCCUGUAGUC